This is a long non-coding RNA of Empidonax traillii (willow flycatcher), 1213 nucleotides long. RefSeq lists it as uncharacterized. The transcript is spliced from 8 exons. The record is from RefSeq and is a predicted model, not a curated record. Lineage: Eukaryota; Metazoa; Chordata; Aves; Passeriformes; Tyrannidae.
UGGUGUGAGACCCCCUGAAAUUCAGGAAACCCCUUAAAUUCGGGGAGCACCCCACAGUUACGGAGGACCCAAAUAAACCCCAGGUUGGGGGAAAUAAGAGGGGUGUGAGGGGAGUUUGGGGAGGGGCCCAAGGGUGGGACGAACUCCUUCUGCCGCCCAGUCCCCACUGGGUGGGCACAAUUUGGGGUUCCUUCCACAAACUCACAAAUUUUGGGUGUUUUGUUAAAAAAAAAAAAAAACCAAACCAGCAGCUUCUCCCUCCUCAGCCAGGUCUGACGGAUCCCUUUCCUCACGUUUCCAGCUCCCAUCGCUGUCUGUAUUUCCUCGUCACGUGUCAUCCAUCACUCCAGUCCCAGUGCACCUCCUCCAUGGUUUCUGAUGCAAAGGUGCAACUGCUGGACUUGAUGUUGGCCCACCGGAGACUGUUGAUGUGAGCAUCUCUCAGUUUGAAAAGCUGCUCUCCCGUGCCUGCCUGGCACACAGGGAGCCCUCUCCAGCAUAUGCCAUCCCAGCCUCAGGUGCUGGCACAGCCUGAAUCCUCAUCUCCACUUCGUGGCUCCUCCUUAAUCUCCGAGGUCGGAGAAAAAGUUUCUGAGGUUUAUUAAGAAAACCCUCUGAAUUAAUUCUGCCUUUGUGGGGUCAGCCUGUGAGCCUGGAGCACACCUGAACCAAGGAGCAAAUUAAGGUUAGGUGCAGUUUGCCUUAGAAAUCAUAACUGCCAUACUUGGGUGCAGCAAAGUGUGGAAGCUCCUGAAGCCCAGGCUCAUUAUCCAGAGAAAACAGCUGUAAAGGCAGUCGGUGAGAACAGAAGAAGGAGCAGAUGAUGGCACCAAAUCCUGCCCUGGAGCUGUGCCUGGUGCAAACAGCAUCCCGUGCGGAGAAGCAGAUCGUGCUCCUGCAAAGUUGAGAUCCCAAGUGGAGGGUUCCUGGUGACAACCAGCACUGCUGCCGGGAUCUGGGAGCUGCCUGCGGGGGCCGAGCUGGAGCAGAGCGAGCAGAGUCAGGAGUGCUCCUGCUGACAGAUCAGCCUGGUGGAUUUUAUGGAGGAUUUCUACAGCUGAGGGAUAACUGUGAAUUUCCAGGUUCUCCUCUGAUGGUGCCCAUCUCACGGAGCUCUCUCAGGAAGCAGCAAGUGGAGCUGAGCUGUGUGAGCACCUGCCAGGAUCUGCACUCAGGAAGUUCAGGACCAGAUUUCUUUUUCAGUCUGAAAUAU